GAUGAACGCUGGCGGCGUGCCUAAUACAUGCAAGUCGAGCGGAAGGACGAUAAGCUUUCUUCGCUUAUGUUAGCGGCGCACGGGUGAGUAACAUGUGGCUAACCUACCUAUAAAACUGGGAUAACUUCGUGAAACCGGAACUAAUUCCGGCUAAUGUUUUGAACCGCAUGGUUCAAAAGUGAAAGACGGUCUUGCUGUCACUUAUAGAUGGAUCCGUGUUGCAUUAGCUAGUUGGUAAGGUAACGGCUUACCAAGGCAACGAUGCAUAGCCGAUCUGAGAGGGCGAUCGGCCACACUGGAACUGAGACACGGUCCAGACUCCUACGGGAGGCAGCAGUAGGGAAUCUUGCGCAAUGGGCGAAAGCCUGACGUAGCAACGCCGCGUGUGUGAUGAAGGCCUUCGGAUCGUAAAACUCUGUUAUUAGGGAAGAAAAGAUGCGGAAUAAACCGUGGAGAUGUUGACGGUACCUAAUCAGAAAGCAACGGCUAACUACGUG
RNAcentral lists this ribosomal RNA (497 nucleotides) under uncultured bacterium. RNAcentral's name for it is "partial 16S ribosomal RNA". It matches the Rfam family "Bacterial small subunit ribosomal RNA", at positions 28 to 507 of the family's 1533-position model. The record is from RNAcentral.